UUAUAUAGGUAUAUAUCAUGGUCACAAUGGAAAUGAACAGGGGACCAAUAGUGCGAACAGCUUGUAGUUUGUGAAAAGGCUUUCGCAAAUUUCAGCAAGAUUUAGUGAUUCUAUACAGACCAAACGCACCUUAAGUAAUAUUUGGCCUAAACAUCUGAACUACUCAAACACAAAAAUAUUUGACAUUAAAAGGAUCAUGACGUUAGAGGAUCAUUACUAUUGAGAUGGGAGAAAGGUCAAAGGUUAAACGAAAAGUAAUGAAUGAAGAAUCUGCAGGAACCGUAACUAUAGAUACAUCUACAUCUCUGUUCCACAUCAGUUAAUUUUUUACCAGUAUCGAGUUUAACAGGACAAGCUGUAAAUCUGAUUAGUAUUUAUCAUUUUCUGUAGAUGUCCACCAUACGGAAUAUACUAGAAAGAAUGUACGAGAAUAGUUUACUUCCCAAGAUAAAUAAACUGGAGCAUUGGAAACAAUAAUGAUUCACAUAAUGGUUUAUUAACUCUACUAUAUUCAGAAAAUGGGGAUUUUGAACCCCUUUUUGUUUGAUCAGAUGAUCAUCAUCACAUCAUUAGUUUAUUCUUAUAAUUAAUAAUAAUCAAUAAUAUAUCAAUAAUAAAUCAUCAUGUCUUAUAAGACAUAAGUGAACAUAAAAAUUUGACAAAAUGUCUGACUACAUUAGAGCAGAUCAAAGAUACUUAACAUUGUUUUGAUUAAGAUGAUGGAAUACAUAAUCUAACAGCAGAUAUGGCACAUUGUUUACUUAACACAACCACUAAUGAAAGUUAGGCAAGUAAUGUCGGCAACAAUAACACAA
Molecule: long non-coding RNA, 815 nt
Organism: Photinus pyralis (common eastern firefly)
Lineage: Eukaryota; Metazoa; Arthropoda; Insecta; Coleoptera; Lampyridae
Exons: 2
Source: RefSeq, a predicted model, not a curated record